UGUUCAACGGCCGCGGUAUCCUAACCGUGCGAAGGUAGCGUAAUCACUUGUUCUUUAAAUGAGGACUAGUAUGAAUGGCACUACGAGGGUUAUACUGUCUCCUUUUUCUAAUCAGUGAAACUAAUUUUCCCGUGAAGAAGCGGGAAUAUAAUUAUAAGACGAGAAGACCCUAUGGAGCUUUAAACAACCCAGCAAUUACUUUAAAAUUUAUAAAUUUCAGAAUAUCCACUUUUUAAGCAAUAUGUCUGCAAGUUUUCGGUUGGGGUGAUCAUGGAAAAUAAUAUAACCUCCAUACUGAAUGAAUUAUCUUCUAAGCUAAAAAUUACUAAUUGAAGCAUCAACAUACUGACAUCCAUUGACCCAAUAUACUUGAUCAACGAACCAAGUUACCCUAGGGAUAACAGCGCAAUCCACUUCAAGAGCCCCUAUCGACAAGUGGGUUUACGACCUCGAUGUUGGAUCAGGGUAUCCCAGUGGCGCAGCCGCUACUAAAGGUUC
RNAcentral lists this ribosomal RNA (498 nucleotides) under Rhinella magnussoni. RNAcentral's name for it is "partial 16S ribosomal RNA". It matches the Rfam family "Bacterial large subunit ribosomal RNA", at positions 1921 to 2574 of the family's 2925-position model. Lineage: Eukaryota; Metazoa; Chordata; Amphibia; Anura; Bufonidae. The record is from RNAcentral.